Molecule: ribosomal RNA, 314 nt
Filed under: uncultured bacterium
Lineage: Bacteria
Description: partial 16S ribosomal RNA
Rfam family: Bacterial small subunit ribosomal RNA
Source: RNAcentral
UUAUAAGAGACAGCAGUCGCCGCGGGAAUACAGAGGGUGCGAGCGUUAAUCGGAUUUACUGGGCGUAAAGCGUGCGUAGGCGGCUUCUUAAGUCGGAUGUGAAAUCCCUGAGCUUAACUUAGGAAUUGCAUUCGAUACUGGGAAGCUAGAGUAUGGGAGAGGAUGGUAGAAUUCCAGGUGUAGCGGUGAAAUGCGUAGAGAUCUGGAGGAAUACCGAUGGCGAAGGCAGCCAUCUGGCCUAAUACUGACGCUGAGGUACGAAAGCAUGGGGAGCAAACAGGAUUAGAUACCCGCGUAGUCCCUGUCUCUUAUAC